GCAGACCUACGGGGCUGCUUCACAUUGCGGACCUACGGGGCCGCCACAUACACGGAAGACAGUAA
This 65-nucleotide non-coding RNA is filed under the name unclassified sequences. Its description in RNAcentral is "L2-Alphaproteobacteria ribosomal protein leader". It matches the Rfam family "L2-Alphaproteobacteria ribosomal protein leader". The record is from RNAcentral.